GACGAACGCUGGCGGCGUGCUUAACACAUGCAAGUCGAACGGAAAGGCCCUGCUUUUGUGGGGUGCUCGAGUGGCGAACGGGUGAGUAACACGUGAGUAACCUGCCCUUGACUUUGGGAUAACUUCAGGAAACUGGGGCUAAUACCGGAUAGGAGCUCCUGCUGCAUGGUGGUGGUUGGAAAGUUUCGGCGGUUGGGGAUGGACUCGCGGCUUAUCAGCUUGUUGGUGGGGUAGUGGCUUACCAAGGCUUUGACGGGUAGCCGGCCUGAGGGGGUGACCGGCCACAUUGGGCCUGGGAUACGGCCCAGACUCCUACGGGGGGCAGCAGUGGGGAAUAUUGCACAAUGGGCGGAAGCCUGAUGCAGCAACGCCGCGUGCGGGAUGACGGCCUUCGGGUUGAAAACCGCUUUCGCCUGUGACGAAGCGUGAGUGACGGUAAUGGGUAAAGAAGCACCGGCUAACUACGUG
RNAcentral lists this ribosomal RNA (468 nucleotides) under uncultured bacterium. Its description in RNAcentral is "partial 16S ribosomal RNA". It matches the Rfam family "Bacterial small subunit ribosomal RNA", at positions 28 to 507 of the family's 1533-position model. The record is from RNAcentral.